CCGGGUGUCUCUGCGACAAGUCUUUUCUGCACCGGGGUCAAGGUCAUGAUACAAAUUCUUUCCUCCGGACCUCUAGCCGUCGUCGGCUCUGUGCUGAAGCAGUUGGAGAACGCCAUCGGAAUGCACUGUUGAUGCGAUUCUGCUAGCACGGAUGGUUCGUAAAACUCAAGGUGCCGAGUUAAUGAAGCUACAGUUCCCGCCAUCGUCAACGUUUAUUUAAGGCUGAAAAAUAAAAGAAUCAAAGAGACGCGGAA
Long non-coding RNA from Dermacentor silvarum, 254 nucleotides. RefSeq lists it as uncharacterized. The record is from RefSeq and is a predicted model, not a curated record. The transcript has 2 exons. Lineage: Eukaryota; Metazoa; Arthropoda; Arachnida; Ixodida; Ixodidae.